UCUGUCAUACCUGAUGCGGUAUAAUACAAAUAAAUAUAUAGGUAAUAUAUGCACUUUAUAGAAAAUAAAGAGAUGUUAUAUACUACUACCGAAUGAUUUUAUCCAAAUGUUGUUGGUUCGUACAUACCUAAAUGUCAUGUUUUCUUACGCCACCCAUCUUAUUUGAGUUAUUAGACUUACAUUAUUGGAUUUUGGAGAAAAUUUGAUGCAUCAAAAUGCUUAGCUUACUCCCAGUCUCUCCUCAUAUCGAGGUUGAAGUAUUAGGUAAUACUAUUGUUUAGCACAUAACUUAUUACAUUAUGAAUUUUGGUGUGGCUUUCGAUUUUAUUUUUGUGGACAUUAUUUUUACACAUGCAAGCAUACCACCUCUGAUUAUACCUACUAGCGGUCAUAUCCUUCACAUGGUACAAAUCCUGAUACACUUUAUAGUAUUUUUGUUAUAAUUACUUUCAUGUAAAUCCAAACUAUUAUAGUUACUGAAAUUAAUUGGACAUUUAUUUAAGCCAUUUAACAAAGCGGAGCUCCAUUUGCUAGGGUUCGCAGGUCAUGAGAUGAGGUAAACUAACUUGUAAUAAGGCGUCUAGAGGUUAGUCACGCUGAGCUCCUAUCGCACCGCAGUCGUAUUCUUGGUUUAUGUCGACGGCAAACAAAUACUAUAAUGAGUUAUUACUUAAUUAUUAUGCUUACUUUUUUUCCUUUGAUAUGUUGGUUUUUCUUCUGAUAGCUUACCACAUACUUAUAGUAUAAACAAACAGGAAUUUGGCUUUGUAAAUUAUUUUGCGCCUUUGCAUAUGAUCUGGCCAGAUUUGUAUGUAAUGCUGAGGCUUGAAGCAUCACAAAAGCUUGUACAGAAUCAUGUGUAGUGGUUGGGUUCGAAUAUAUAGAUUGAGAUUUUUUUCUUACCGAAAGGAUUGCCCUUCUUCACAUAGCUGCAGCACGUCCACAACACAUGUUUUGUCGCAUGCACGUAUCAUACGCUGUUAGCGUUUGGAUUAGAUGUUCACGUUCUAGUACUCCCUCCGUUCCUAAAUAUUGUCUUUUUAGGUACUCCCUCUGUUUAUAUUUCUUGAUGUCAUUUCUAGUAUGCAAUCAUAUGACAUGUUUCAUGUAAAUUAAUAUGGGCUGCUAUCAAUUUUUUAAUCUGCAAUUGAUCUAGUGUUUUUUACAUGGUAGCUUAAUAUCCUCUUUCCUUUUCUAAUAUGCAAACUUCUAAUAUGUGAGGUGAAGAAGUGCAUGAGUUGCGGUUCGCCUUAGGCUCCUCCCACUCGUCGACGGUCUGGUCCAGCGUCACUUAACCGUUGUGACCUGGCCGGUUUGGUUCAGCUUUGAGCUGCCCACCGCGGAGUGGGAGGACGGCAUGCUCAUGAACAUCGAGGUCGGAUCAAGUAUGAUGGUGCACCGCGGCAUGUGGUGGCCUAUUUUUUUUUGUAGUGGUACUGUAUAUGGUCUCAUCCAACAUUGAGUAUCCAUAUGUUGUUUUAAUACUGAUGAUAAUGUUGUAGCAUAAAGUAGACACCAUAUCUGGUUUGUCUUGAUGUUUUAACUAUGGUGGUUCUUGUCUGAUGCACAUUAUUCUUUGAAGGGUUAUGAUGAUAGAAAUAUAUUGACCCUGAUGUGAGAAAGGUGCCCAUUUUCCCUUUGUUAAACAUUUUCACUCUGCUUUAUGUUCUUUGCGUGGUUCCAGUUUCACACUGCUGGUGUUUCAUGCGAUAUUCAUCGCAUCCUGCUCACAUGCCUUAUGAUCGAGUAACUUGAUGAAAAACUAUGUUGUUUGUUCAUUCUGCUAUAUUAUUUUGAGAUCAUGUGGUGUAAUGAUAUUGUUGUGUUAUUUUGAGAAUUAUAUUAUUAUCAUUAUAUUCUCAUGUGCUUUUUGUCGACUACCAAAUUUUCCAAUGAAAUGUUGUUGAUAUCCCUUGAAUAAUUGCUGGACUAAAUUAUGCGAGUGGGCUAGAAAUGGGAUGGUUCAAUUAAUGAUGGAAUGAAUAGCUGGGUUGUACAUUGCCUCUGCUAAGAAAAAACAUUAAGUGGGUCAAGGUUGUGGCCCAAAAGUAAAUCUAAAAUUGACAGAAAUAAUGGGCUCCACCUAUAGUUGUGGCCUAAAAGUAAAUCUAAUAAUGGGCUAAUUAUUGGGCUUGUCCCAUUAAAACAGGUGAUUUUAACCGAUCCUACAUGGCGUCCAUGUCAUCAUUUUUGCCAUGUCACUGCAUGUGCCACGUGGACAUUGCCACAUCAGAUCCUACGUGUUUCAAGCUCAUUAGUAAUGACCAUAAUUUUGGUCGUAGAUUUUACGACCAAUAUUUUGGUCAAGGGCGGCCAUGACCAGAAUUUCAGAAAAGGUCAAGUUUGUUUGUUCUUGACGGCCAACUUUUGACGUCCUGAAUUUGGUCAAAAAAAGGUCAAUAAACGAUAACAAUGACUAAUCAACGACCAAAAAGGAGAGUCACAAUCGACCAUAUUUCUUGUAGUGGUUUCAUUGUCUUGCAGUUUUAGUUUGUUUUCAUCUCUUUACUCAACGAUGUUUCUUUUGGCGUAACGCAGUGGGAUUGUUAACCCUUUCAUUUGCUUAGCUCCCGAGUAGAAUUUACAGGUUUGACUGAAUUGUGGAGAGGAAUGGCGAUUCGUUGCUGGUGUAGAGUCAGGAGUGCUUGGAGAAGGUUGCCAAGACGGUCUCCUUCCUCGCGCAACCUGAAGGGUCAUUCCUGUUGUUGCUCACAGGUAAUUCAGUUCUGAUGCAUCUGUUCUAAUACUUUUAUGGAAUUAUAUAUAGGGGCUGCUGAUUGUGUGCGUUUACUAGUUAGAUUUUGUUUGCAAUCAAGGGUGAACACUAUGAUCGUAGUAUCAUGACUGGAAAGUUUGUGCCUAUACCAUUGCUUCUUUCCUUCAGGCUUAAACAUUUGGUAUCACAUCUCAUUAGAGCGAGCGUGUGACCUAUGUAGCUGGGAUUACUUUGGAUUCAGCGCAACAUCGGCAGCUUAUAUUUAUAAUUUGAAACCAAACAUCAUGUGCUUAUUCUUGUAUGUGAAUGUUCUCUUGAAAAUCUUAGUUGUAUUCUUUGGAGCUUAUGUGUAUAUAUCUGUGUGUGUGUGUGUAGUCGUCACUAGUUGACAAUUUAAGUAUCUUGAUACCUCCUAAAUUUUGUAACAAACAUUGCUGGUGUUGUUAUGUUAGAAGUCAAUAUGUAUCAAAAUUUGUAAUUCUGAAUCAUUUGUUUUCUUUCUCUAACGCUUUUGAUUCAUGCUUCUUUUGCGAGGGGAAGUUCAAAAGGACCGCGCGCUGGAGCUCCUAAACGUGCACCCCUUCUACUUCGUUUACUUAUGUGGCGUGAUGACAGAAAGCAAACCUUUGGAGCCAUAGUUGUCUUUUUUGUGAUCUAAAAUAAUAAUGGUAACAUAUUAAUGC
RNAcentral lists this long non-coding RNA (3399 nucleotides) under Hordeum vulgare. RNAcentral's name for it is "long non-coding RNA (HVUL_LNC012120)". The record is from RNAcentral. Lineage: Eukaryota; Viridiplantae; Streptophyta; Magnoliopsida; Poales; Poaceae.